AUGGUAGGUGGGAUGAGCAGCACGUGCCCAUCAUCAUGGGUCAAGUGUUCUGUGGGCUUCGUGGAUAGUGGGUUGACCAUGUCCGUUACAAAGGGCGUAACGGUUCUGAAGAGUGCAGAACACGUUAAUGACGAGAUUCCGAAGCAUUUUCCCUUUUGCCCUCAUUUUCUAUACCUAAAAUUGUUUUCACUGUUUUUCUAUUCUCUCUGUCUGUCACCAUCACUCCCUUCUAUAAAUUCAAUCCAUCUUUACCUAUCAAACUUCCCCUUCUCUUCUUCCUCUGAGGAAUCUUGA
Molecule: non-coding RNA, 294 nt
Organism: Vicia faba (fava bean)
Lineage: Eukaryota; Viridiplantae; Streptophyta; Magnoliopsida; Fabales; Fabaceae
Source: the annotation of a GenBank genome assembly